GCAGGAAGUUUAUUCAGAGUGCUCUGGGGCAACACCUGUGAGGGAAUACAGGCAGUAAAACAGGGCAGAGGGAGAGGCUGAAUUCUGAUGCAGCUGCAAACAAAAGCCUGACUGAUCCAGGAGGAUGCUCUGCAACGGGGCUGGGCCUUCAAAGUGGAUCCAAGCCCGGUGAAAGGUCCAGGCCUUCAUGUCCCAGCAUCAACCUGUCUUUGGAUAUGGGUUGCUACUGCUCCUACCUUGGGCAUCCUAGUUCUCCUCAGCCACAGGCAAUCCCAAAGAGGGUCUCAGCUGAGCACUCUCAGCUGCCAACAUUACCAGCAGCUGAAGAAGGAAGUCCUUCCCUCCUGGAAGCGGGUGGAGGGAGUGCCGUAGAUCUGGGCUGCCUGACAACAUCUUCUGCAUUGCUCAGGGCAUGCUUCCCACUCAACUCUCAGACAGUGAUGAAUAAACUCAAAGGAAAGGAAAAUCAUUUGGCAACCGGAAGGUGUGGGAGGAUAGCUGUAAAGGAAACUGACUGCAAAAAACAGAGCAGAGAAGUUUAAAGAAAAAAAAUAACAGCAUUCCUGGUGAUGCCCCAUUGGGUCAAUGAAACGAACACAUUCUGAAGCCUUUCCUAACCAGGAGCCAACCAAUCUCAUCACUGUGAAGCCAGAAAACCCUAUCUAUUGAAGAUGACUGCUUUUUUCUACUGUAGCUGGCAAUUUUAUGAAAUGAAGAAAAUUUGCUCUAGUUGCAAGUGACACACACCUCUUAAAUGUCUGCCAUCAAUUAAAAGUAAAAUACUGGUUACUUACAACUAUCAAUUAGAUACAAUGCACUCCAGGAGAUCAGGAGCCUUGGCAUUCAGACAUAGGAGAAUUUUUUUGGCUUUGCCAUUUACUUGCAAUGUGACCUUGAUGAGAGAGAAGUUGAUGCUCAGCGAGGUGAAGUAAUUUGCCCAGGGUUAAGAUUCAAAUGCAAGUCUGGGGACCCUGAAGUCUGCUUCUUUUCACUGUGCUGCGUAGUGGCCUUAGCCUUUCCUUUCUAACAGAGAAGCCAAGACAGCAUACCUGUGUCUGGGUGCCCCAAUGGUGUGCACAUCUAUUACCUCAGGAAGAAAGAAUGUCUGAGGAGAUGAAAUUUGCAAACAGUUACAAAGGAC
RNAcentral lists this long non-coding RNA (1141 nucleotides) under Pan troglodytes (chimpanzee). RNAcentral's name for it is "long non-coding RNA NONPTRT012184". Lineage: Eukaryota; Metazoa; Chordata; Mammalia; Primates; Hominidae. The record is from RNAcentral.